GUGCUCACUUCUGCAGCACAAGUACUAAAAUUGGAACAAUAGAGGAGAUUGCAUGGCCCCUGCACAAGGAUGACACGCAAAUUUGUGACGUGUUCAUAUUUUAA
Molecule: small nuclear RNA, 104 nt
Filed under: Sciurus vulgaris (Eurasian red squirrel)
Lineage: Eukaryota; Metazoa; Chordata; Mammalia; Rodentia; Sciuridae
Source: RNAcentral